This 341-nucleotide ribosomal RNA is filed under the name uncultured Pseudomonas sp. Its description in RNAcentral is "bacterial SSU rRNA". It matches the Rfam family "Bacterial small subunit ribosomal RNA", at positions 1044 to 1382 of the family's 1533-position model. Lineage: Bacteria; Pseudomonadati; Pseudomonadota; Gammaproteobacteria; Pseudomonadales; Pseudomonadaceae. The record is from RNAcentral.
CAUGGCUGUCGUCAGCUCGUGUCGUGAGAUGUUGGGUUAAGUCCGUAACGAGCGCAACCCUUGUCCUUAGUUACCAGCACGUUAUGGUGGGCGACUCUAAGGAGGACUGCCGGUGGACAAACCGGAGGAAGGUGGGGAGUGACGUCAAGUCAUCAUGGCCCCUACGGCCUGGGCUACACACGUGCUACAAUGGUCGGUACAAAGGGUUGCCAAGCCGCGAGGUGGAGCUAAUCCCAUAAACCGAUCGUAGUCCGGAUCGCAGUCUGCAACUCGACUGCGUGAAGUCGGAAUCGCUAGUAAUCGUGAAUCAGAAUGUCACGGUGAAUACGUUCCCGGGCCUU